This 497-nucleotide ribosomal RNA is filed under the name uncultured bacterium. RNAcentral describes it as "partial 16S ribosomal RNA". It matches the Rfam family "Bacterial small subunit ribosomal RNA", at positions 28 to 507 of the family's 1533-position model. The record is from RNAcentral.
GAUGAACGCUGGCGGCGUGCCUAAUACAUGCAAGUCGAGCGAACAGACGAGGAGCUUGCUCCUCUGACGUUAGCGGCGGACGGGUGAGUAACACGUGGAUAACCUACCUAUAAGACUGGGAUAACUUCGGGAAACCGGAGCUAAUACCGGAUAAUAUAUUGAACCGCAUGGUUCAAUAGUGAAAGACGGUUUUGCUGUCACUUAUAGAUGGAUCCGCGCCGCAUUAGCUAGUUGGUAAGGUAACGGCUUACCAAGGCAACGAUGCGUAGCCGACCUGAGAGGGUGCUCGGCCACACUGGAACUGAGACGCGGUCCAGACUACUACGGGAAGCAGCAGUGGAGAAUCUUCCGCAAUGGGCGAAAGCCUGACGGAGCGACGCCGCGUGAGAGAUGAAGGUCUUCGGAUCGUAAAGCUCUGUUAUUAGGGAAGAACAAAUGUGUAAGUAACUAUACACGUCUUGACGGUACCUAAUCAGAAAGCCACGGCUAACUACGUG